CUGGGAGGACCAUCUCCUAAGGCUAAAUACUCUCUAGUGACCGAUAGUGAACCAGUACCGUGAGGGAAAGGUGAAAAGCACCCCGGAAGGGGAGUGAAAUAGAACCUGAAACCGUGUGCUUACAAGUAGUCAGAGCCCGUUAAUGGGUGAUGGCGUGCCUUUUGUAGAAUGAACCGGCGAGUUACGAUUUGAUGCAAGGUUAAGCAGUAAAUGUGGAGCCGUAGCGAAAGCGAGUCUGAAUAGGGCGUUUAGUAUUUGGUCGUAGACCCGAAACCAGGUGAUCUACCCUUGGUCAGGUUGAAGUUCAGGUAACACUGAAUGGAGGACCGAACCGACUUACGUUGAAAAGUGAGCGGAUGAACUGAGGGUAGCGGAGAAAUUCCAAUCGAACCUGGAGAUAGCUGGUUCUCUCCGAAAUAGCUUUAGGGCUAGCCUCAAGUGAUGAUUAUUGGAGGUAGAGCACUGUUUGGACGAGGGGCCCCUCUCGGGUUACCGAAUUCAGACAAACUCCGAAUGCCAAUUAAUUUAACUUGGGAGUCAGAACAUGGGUGAUAAGGUCCGUGUUCGAAAGGGAAACAGCCCAGACCACCAGCUAAGGUCCCAAAAUAUAUGUUAAGUGGAAAAGGAUGUGGCGUUGCCCAGACAACUAGGAUGUUGGCUUAGAAGCAGCCAUCAUUUAAAGAGUGCGUAAUAGCUCACUAGUCGAGUGACACUGCGCCGAAAAUGUACCGGGGCUAAACAUAUUACCGAAGCUGUGGAUUGUCCUUUGGACAAUGGUAGGAGAGCGUUCUAAGGGCGUUGAAGCAUGAUCGUAAGGACAUGUGGAGCGCUUAGAAGUGAGAAUGCCGGUGUGAGUAGCGAAAGACGGGUGAGAAUCCCGUCCACCGAUUGACUAAGGUUUCCAGAGGAAGGCUCGUCCGCUCUGGGUUAGUCGGGUCCUAAGCUGAGGCCGACAGGCGUAGGCGAUGGAUAACAGGUUGAUAUUCCUGUACCACCUAUAAUCGUUUUAAUCGAUGGGGGGACGCAGUAGGAUAGGCGAAGCGUGCGAUUGGAUUGCACGUCUAAGCAGUAAGGCUGAGUAUUAGGCAAAUCCGGUACUCGUUAAGGCUGAGCUGUGAUGGGGAGAAGACAUUGUGUCUUCGAGUCGUUGAUUUCACACUGCCGAGAAAAGCCUCUAGAUAGAAAAUAGGUGCCCGUACCGCAAACCGACACAGGUAGUCAAGAUGAGAAUUCUAAGGUGAGCGAGCGAACUCUCGUUAAGGAACUCGGCAAAAUGACCCCGUAACUUCGGGAGAAGGGGUGCUCUUUAGGGUUAACGCCCAGAAGAGCCGCAGUGAAUAGGCCCAAGCGACUGUUUAUCAAAAACACAGGUCUCUGCUAAACCGUAAGGUGAUGUAUAGGGGCUGACGCCUGCCCGGUGCUGGAAGGUUAAGAGGAGUGGUUAGCUUCUGCGAAGCUACGAAUCGAAGCCCCAGUAAACGGCGGCCGUAACUAUAACGGUCCUAAGGUAGCGAAAUUCCUUGUCGGGUAAGUUCCGACCCGCACGAAAGGCGUAACGAUUUGGGCACUGUCUCAACGAGAGACUCGGUGAAAUCAUAGUACCUGUGAAGAUGCAGGUUACCCGCGACAGGACGGAAAGACCCCGUGGAGCUUUACUGUAGCCUGAUAUUGAAAUUCGGCACAGCUUGUACAGGAUAGGUAGGAGCCUUUGAAACGUGAGCGCUAGCUUACGUGGAGGCGCUGGUGGGAUACUACCCUAGCUGUGUUGGCUUUCUAACCCGCACCACUUAUCGUGGUGGGAGACAGUGUCAGGCGGGCAGUUUGACUGGGGCGGUCGCCUCCUAAAAGGUAACGGAGGCGCUCAAAGGUUCCCUCAGAAUGGUUGGAAAUCAUUCAUAGAGUGUAAAGGCAUAAGGGAGCUUGACUGCGAGACCUACAAGUCGAGCAGGGUCGAAAGACGGACUUAGUGAUCCGGUGGUUCCGCAUGGAAGGGCCAUCGCUCAACGGAUAAAAGCUACCCCGGGGAUAACAGGCUUAUCUCCCCCAAGAGUUCACAUCGACGGGGAGGUUUGGCACCUCGAUGUCGGC
Molecule: ribosomal RNA, 2088 nt
Filed under: Staphylococcus aureus
Lineage: Bacteria; Bacillati; Bacillota; Bacilli; Caryophanales; Staphylococcaceae
Description: partial 23S ribosomal RNA
Rfam family: Bacterial large subunit ribosomal RNA
Source: RNAcentral